This 490-nucleotide ribosomal RNA is filed under the name uncultured bacterium. RNAcentral describes it as "bacterial SSU rRNA". It matches the Rfam family "Bacterial small subunit ribosomal RNA", at positions 23 to 507 of the family's 1533-position model. The record is from RNAcentral.
CUCAGAACGAACGCUGGCGGCGCGCCUAAUACAUGCAAGUCGAGCGAGAAGGUGUAGCAAUACACUUGUAAAGCGGCGAACGGGUGAGGAAUACAUGGGUAAUCUACCAUCGAGUGGGGAAUAACCAGCCGAAAGGUUGGCUAAUACCGCGUACGCUUCCGAGUCUUCGGGCUUGGAAGGAAAGCCGCACUGUGAGUGCGGCGCUCUUUGAUGAGCUCAUGUCCUAUCAGCUUGUUGGUAGGGUAACGGCCUACCAAGGCUUUGACGGGUAGCUGGUCUGAGAGGACGAUCAGCCACACUGGCACUGCGACACGGGCCAGACUCCUACGGGAGGCAGCAGUAAGGAAUAUUGCGCAAUGGGCGAAAGCCUGACGCAGCGACGCCGCGUGGGGGAUGAAGGUCUUCGGAUUGUAAACCCCUUUCGGGAGGGAAGAUGGAGCGAGCAAUCGUUCGGACGGUACCUCCAGAAGCAGCCACGGCCAACUUCGUG